Molecule: long non-coding RNA, 471 nt
Filed under: Olea europaea (common olive)
Lineage: Eukaryota; Viridiplantae; Streptophyta; Magnoliopsida; Lamiales; Oleaceae
Description: long non-coding RNA (OEUR_LNC013452)
Source: RNAcentral
ACACUCUCGGUUCAUAUCAUACUAUCAUCUAUUUUAUGAAAAUUAUAUGCGCUAGGUUUUUUAUGAAAAUAAUGAAUUCAUGGUGCACGUGAAGAAGAAUACAUUUACAUACCUGUUGGAUACCACGUCCUUAUUCACACAACCAAACGUACAAGGAUUGAUACCUUGUACUUGAAAUUUGUAGUGUUAAUUAUUUCAAUAUUUGGGGUUGUGAUUUGUCCUUAAUAACAAAAAUAAUUUAAGGAUAGUACUAGUAUACUUGGAAUGUAAUUAAUACACCACAUGUCAAGUUUAAUUUUAUAGCAUGAUUUUGUAGAAAAUAAAUUCCACUUGAGCUCCCAGUAUAUUAUCUAAAUUCUAGACAAGAUUGUGUCUAUCCACCUCUGAAUUUAAUGGUUCUAUAAUUCACCAAUAGGUGAUAUCACUUAGAUUGAUCAAAUAAAUUGAUGAAUUGAGAAUUUGAGAAUGAGC